AGCCCAUUCGCAGAGGCUUAUGAGCUGCGGGACGGCGGGUGACGGCGACCACCUAAAAAGCCUA
Molecule: non-coding RNA, 64 nt
Filed under: unclassified sequences
Description: GP20-b RNA
Rfam family: GP20-b RNA
Source: RNAcentral